CUUCUCUGAUGUUAGCGGCGGACGGGUGAGUAACACGUGGAUAACCUACCUAUAAGACUGGGAUAACUUCGGGAAACCGGAGCUAAUACCGGAUAAUAUUUUGAACCGCAUGGUUCAAAAGUGAAAGACGGUCUUGCUGUCACUUAUAGAUGGAUCCGCGCUGCAUUAGCUGGUUGGUAAGGUAACGGCUUACCAAGGCAACGAUGCAUAGCCGACCUGAGAGGGUGAUCGGCCACACUGGAACUGAGACACGGUCCAGACUCCUACGGGAGGCAGCAGUAGGGAAUCUUCCGCAAUGGGCGAAAGCCUGACGGAGCAACGCCGCGUGAGUGAUGAAGGUCUUCGGAUCGUAAAACUCUGUUAUUAGGGAAGAACAUAUGUGUAAGUAACUGUGCACAUCUUGACGGUACCUAAUCAGAAAGCCACGGCUAACUACGUGCCAGCAGCCGCGGUAAUACGUAGGUGGCAAGCGUUAUCCGGAAUUAUUGGGCGUAAAGCGCGCGUAGGCGGUUUUUUAAGUCUGAUGUGAAAGCCCACGGCUCAACCGUGGAGGGUCAUUGGAAACUGGAAAACUUGAGUGCAGAAGAGGAAAGUGGAAUUCCAUGUGUAGCGGUGAAAUGCGCAGAGAUAUGGAGGAACACCAGUGGCGAAGGCGACUUUCUGGUCUGUAACUGACGCUGAUGUGCGAAAGCGUGGGGAUCAAACAGGAUUAGAUACCCUGGUAGUCCACGCCGUAAACGAUGAGUGCUAAGUGUUAGGGGGUUUCCGCCCCUUAGUGC
RNAcentral lists this ribosomal RNA (779 nucleotides) under uncultured Staphylococcus sp. Its description in RNAcentral is "bacterial SSU rRNA". It matches the Rfam family "Bacterial small subunit ribosomal RNA", at positions 81 to 846 of the family's 1533-position model. The record is from RNAcentral. Lineage: Bacteria; Bacillati; Bacillota; Bacilli; Caryophanales; Staphylococcaceae.